AAUUUUUUUAUUCUUUUGAACUUAAAUAACAUUAAGGUUACUAAAACAAAGAAGAACACAACAGCGGCUACUGUUCAAACUAAGUCCAGAUUUUAGUUUAAACAUUUUAAUAAGCGCCCAUGUUGUUUAAAACUGCAUGCUAGUCAUUUUGGCUUGCUUCAUAAUCCAGCAGGACAGAGAAUGGUACUCCUUCGCUGAUUCUAAUAAUAGUCUAUAU
This is a non-coding RNA of Schizosaccharomyces pombe (fission yeast), 217 nucleotides long. The record is from the annotation of a GenBank genome assembly. NCBI's taxonomy places the organism in Eukaryota, Fungi, Ascomycota, Schizosaccharomycetes, Schizosaccharomycetales, Schizosaccharomycetaceae.